AAUGUUAUCCAACGUAACCGCCCCGCAGCGAGUGGAGUCGAUGAGUUCCUGGUGACUCGCAGACGUGUCCGUGCUGGUGGUGGAUCGUACUCACAGCAGCUGUCAAUCACCUGACCUGCUCUGACCCCGCCCCCUGGCUCCCUCCCCUCCGUCAAUCAGCCUCAUCGCUGCCCAGCAGCGAGUCGAAGCCGCCGCAAAGAGACCGCACUGUAACUGGAAGGUCGCAGGUUCAAGCCUCCGUCCUGCUGACGAGCACAAGACUCCGGGAAUGCUGCCGCAGCUCGAGGAAUGUGUGUGUGUGUGUGUGUGUGUGUGUGUGUGUGUGUGUGUGUGUGUGUGUGUGUGUGCGGUGCGCUGACUCGGCGAGAUCACUGUGGUGGACCUAACUGGCUGGAAAGCUGCCCGGUGCAGGAAUGUGACCUCGUGCACACACACGGUAUGAGGGUGUGUUAAGGUGUGUACGCCGGUGGAGGAGGAAGUAUCCGGAUACUUUACUGAAGUUAAAGUACUAAUACUGCACUGUAUAAAUACUCUAUUACAAGUUAAAGCCAAGUAUUCCAAAUGUUACUUAAGUAAAAGUACUUAAAGUAUUAAAAGUUGUACUGUAAUAUAUGAUAUCAUUAAUUGAUUUAUGACUUUACUUUCUACAAAAAGACACACACACACACACACACACAGACACACAGACACACACACAUUAAAGAGCUGUUUUUGGAGUAAAACCAGGUCAUCAGAUAAUUAAGGAG
Molecule: long non-coding RNA, 746 nt
Organism: Dicentrarchus labrax (European seabass)
Lineage: Eukaryota; Metazoa; Chordata; Actinopteri; Moronidae
Exons: 3
Source: RefSeq, a predicted model, not a curated record